RNAcentral lists this ribosomal RNA (252 nucleotides) under uncultured bacterium. Its description in RNAcentral is "partial 16S ribosomal RNA". It matches the Rfam family "Bacterial small subunit ribosomal RNA", at positions 524 to 776 of the family's 1533-position model. The record is from RNAcentral.
UACAGAGGUCUCAAGCGUUGUUCGGAUUCAUUGGGCGUAAAGGGUGUGUAGGUGGCGCCGUAAGUCGGGUGUGAAAUUUCGGAGCUUAACUCCGAAACUGCAUUCGAUACUGCGGUGCUUGAGGACUGGAGAGGAGACUGGAAUUCAUGGUGUAGCAGUGAAAUGCGUAGAGAUCAUGAGGAAGACCAGUGGCGAAGGCGGGUCUCUGGACAGUUCCUGACACUGAGACACGAAGGCCAGGGAGCAAACGGG